RNAcentral lists this ribosomal RNA (229 nucleotides) under uncultured bacterium. Its description in RNAcentral is "partial 16S ribosomal RNA". It matches the Rfam family "Bacterial small subunit ribosomal RNA", at positions 568 to 796 of the family's 1533-position model. The record is from RNAcentral.
CGUGUAGGCGGUAAGGUAAGUCUGGUGUGAAAGACCUCGGCUCAACCGAGGGAACGCGCUGGAAACUGUCUUACUAGAGUGAUGGAGGGGAAACUGGAAUUCCUGGUGUAGGGGUGAAAUCUGUAGAGAUCAGGAAGAACACCGGAGGCGAAGGCGAGUUUCUGGCCAUCUACUGACGCUGAGGCGCGAAAGCGUGGGGAGCGAACAGGAUUAGAUACCCUGGUAGUCC